UUGAGAUGGGAAAAGAGGCCGCCCCUGUCAGGUCUCCUCCUUCGUUCUUCCCCUCUCUCAAAACGAGCGCCGCCAGAGUUCCAAAAUCCCACCUUCUCAAGCUGAUCUCUCCGCACCCUCUCCCCCCUCCCCAGAUCAGAGCCUCGGCCCGCCCCAGCACGCUCUUCGCCCCCUUCUCUGCCUAUAGGGCUCGAUCCACGGCACAAUCGCCAUCCCACGUCGAUCUCGGUGACCCCGCUGCGCCGCCCGUGGAGAUUGACCGGACUGCCAAGCCCGCGGUGGCAGCACCGUACUCCGCCGAUUCGAUGCCGACCGGUAGCACGGAAGGAAAUGGCGGUGCCGGACGCGCGCGUCGCUGAUGGUCAGGCUGCCGAGGCAAAGGUUGGAGUCGCUCUUGCAGGAACUCUGGCGGACACUUCGGGCUGGGCGACUUCGAUCUCGGCGUAUCACUUCCUGAUGUAGCCACCGACUCCGAGGCGCAUACAGGAACAACAAGGGCUGUGACAACAACGGCGAUGUGGUUCAAUGGUGUGUGACUUAGACUGCGCGACAAACCAGCCUCAUGCCGUAAGCUCAUCAGAUGGUCCUCUCAAGACUUGGAUCGGCAACUUGAUGCAAGUGAUCAACGGAUGUUUGGAAUGUAUACUGCUCAAAUGCUAACAUUGUGUUGCUGUGUAGUUAAUUAACAUUAUAAUUGAAGUGUUUUGGUCUAGCAACUCUAGUUGAUACGUGGUCUAGUCUAUAGCAGAUUGUAUAUGUAGAUUGAAGUGUUCUAGCAAUUUAGCAACUUAGGCUAGCCUUUCUUUGAAUUUAUGGCCAGUAUGAAUAUGAUGUAUAAUGUUUUUUCGCU
This 850-nucleotide ribosomal RNA is filed under the name Triticum aestivum (bread wheat). RNAcentral describes it as "partial small subunit ribosomal RNA". The record is from RNAcentral. Lineage: Eukaryota; Viridiplantae; Streptophyta; Magnoliopsida; Poales; Poaceae.